GGGGUACCUCACCAGGUCCAGACAGAGUAAGGAUUGACAGAUUGAUAGCUCUUUCUUGAUUCUUUGGGUGGUGGUGCAUGGCCGUUCUUAGUUGGUGGAGUGAUUUGUCUGGUUAAUUCCGUUAACGAACGAGACCUUAACCUGCUAUUUAGUCUGCUCGGUACCUUGUCCGCGCGCGCUUCAUAGAGGGACUCCGCGGCGUCAAGCUGCGGUGAGGUUUAAGGCAAUAACAGGUCUGUGAUGCCCUUAGAUGUCCUGGGCUGCACGCGCGCUACACUGAUGCUUGCCUCGUGUUUACCCUCGCCCGAUAGGCCUGGGUAACCCCUAGUGUGCAUCGUGUUGGGGAUUGAUCUUUGCAAUUCUAGAUCAUGAACGAGGAAUGCCUAGUAUGCGCAAGUCAUCAGCUUGUGCAGAUUACGUCCCUGCCCUUUGUACACACCCCCCGUCCCUCCUACCGAUCGAGUGAUCCCGUGAAUUA
RNAcentral lists this ribosomal RNA (478 nucleotides) under Babesia bovis. RNAcentral's name for it is "SSU rRNA". It matches the Rfam family "Eukaryotic small subunit ribosomal RNA", at positions 1207 to 1708 of the family's 1831-position model. The record is from RNAcentral. Lineage: Eukaryota; Apicomplexa; Aconoidasida; Piroplasmida; Babesiidae.